UACGUAGGGGGCAAGCGUUAUCCGGAUUUAUUGGGCGUAAAGAGCUCGUAGGCGGCCGUUCGCGUCGGAUGUGAAAGCUCAGGGCUCAACCCUGAGACGCCAUUCGAUACGGGACGGCUAGAGGUAGGUAGGGGAAAGUGGAAUUCCAGGUGUAGCGGUGAAAUGCGUAGAUAUCUGGAGGAACACCAGCGGCGAAGGCGGCGCUCUGGGCUGGAACUGACGCUGAGGAGCGAAAGCGUGGGGAGCGAACAGG
RNAcentral lists this ribosomal RNA (253 nucleotides) under uncultured bacterium. RNAcentral's name for it is "partial 16S ribosomal RNA". It matches the Rfam family "Bacterial small subunit ribosomal RNA", at positions 524 to 776 of the family's 1533-position model. The record is from RNAcentral.